Molecule: ribosomal RNA, 439 nt
Filed under: uncultured bacterium
Lineage: Bacteria
Description: partial 16S ribosomal RNA
Rfam family: Bacterial small subunit ribosomal RNA
Source: RNAcentral
CUACGGGAGGCUGCAGUGAGGAAUAUUGCACAAUGGGGGGAACCCUGAUGCAGCAACGCCGCGUGGAGGAUGACGCAUUUCGGUGUGUAAACUCCUUUUAUAUGUCAAGAAAAUGACGGUAGCAUAUGAAUAAGCACCGGCUAACUCCGUGCCAGCAGCCGCGGUAAUACGGAGGGUGCAAGCGUUACUCGGAAUCACUGGGCGUAAAGGACGCGUAGGCGGGUUGGAAAGUCAGGUGUGAAAUCCUACAGCGUAACUGUAGAACUGCACUUGAAACUUCUAAUCUAGAGUAUGGGAGGGGGAGAUGGAAUUAGUGGUGUAGGGGUAAAAGCCGUAGAUAUCACUAGGAAUACCUAAAGCGAAGGCGAUCUCCUGGAACAUUACUGACGCUAAGGCGUGAAAGCGUGGGGAGCAAACAGGAUUAGAUACCCGCGUAGUC